AUUGAACGCUGGCGGCAGGCCUAACACAUGCAAGUCGAGCGGUAGAGAGGAGCUUGCUUCUCUUGAGAGCGGCGGACGGGUGAGUAAUGCCUAGGAAUCUGCCUGAUAGUGGGGGAUAACGUCCGGAAACGGACGCUAAUACCGCAUACGUCCUACGGGAGAAAGUGGGGGCUCUUCGGACCUCACGCUAUCAGAUGAGCCUAGGUCGGAUUAGCUAGUUGGUGGGGUAAAGGCUCACCAAGGCGACGAUCCGUAACUGGUCUGAGAGGAUGGUCAGUCACACUGUAACUGAGACACGGUACAGACUCCUACGGGAGGCAGCAGUGGGGAAUAUUGGACAAUGGGCGAAAGCCUGAUCCAGCCAUGCCGCGUGUGUGAAGAAGGUCUUCGGAUUGUAAAGCACUUUAAGUUGGGAGGAAGGGUCGUUACCUAAUACGUGACGAUUUUGACGUUACCGACAGAAUAAGCACCGGCUAACUCUGUGCCAGCAGCCGCGGUAA
This 500-nucleotide ribosomal RNA is filed under the name uncultured bacterium. Its description in RNAcentral is "partial 16S ribosomal RNA". It matches the Rfam family "Bacterial small subunit ribosomal RNA", at positions 30 to 523 of the family's 1533-position model. The record is from RNAcentral.